AAUGAAGUUGCUUAUGACUUAGUGGCGGACGGGUGAGUAACACGUGAGCAACCUGCCUUUCAGAGGGGGAUAACGGCUGGAAACGGUCGCUAAUACCGCAUGAUGUGUUCGGAUGGCAUCAUCUGAACAUCAAAGAUUUAUCGCUGAAAGAUGGGCUCGCGUCUGAUUAGAUAGUUGGCGGGGUAACGGCCUACCAAGGCGACGAUCAGUAGCCGGCCUGAGAGGGUGAACGGUCACAUUGGAACUGAGACACGGCCCAAACUCC
Molecule: ribosomal RNA, 265 nt
Filed under: uncultured bacterium
Lineage: Bacteria
Description: partial 16S ribosomal RNA
Rfam family: Bacterial small subunit ribosomal RNA
Source: RNAcentral